Ovis aries (sheep) is the source of this 72-nucleotide transfer RNA. It matches the Rfam family "tRNA". Rfam says of the family: Transfer RNA (tRNA) molecules are approximately 80 nucleotides in length. Their secondary structure includes four short double-helical elements and three loops (D, anti-codon, and T loops). The record is from Rfam. Lineage: Eukaryota; Metazoa; Chordata; Mammalia; Artiodactyla; Bovidae.
UCCCUGGUAGCUCAGAUGGUAAAGCGUCUGCCUACCAUGCGGGAGACCCAGGUUCAAUCCCUGGAUUGAGAA